UAGGGAAUUUUCGGCAAUGGGGGAAACCCUGACCGAGCAACGCCGCGUGAGUGAUGACGGCCUUCGGGUUGUAAAGCUCUGUUGUAAGGGAAGAACGGUAGAUAGAGAAUAUCUAAGUGACGGUACCUUACCAGAAAGCCACGGCUAACUACGUGCCAGCAGCCGCGGUAAUACGUAGGUGGCGAGCGUUAUCCGGAAUUAUUGGGCGUAAAGGGUGCGUAGGCGGCCUGUUAAGUAAGUGGUUAAAUUGUUGGGCUCAACCCAAUCCAGCCACUUAAACUGGCAGGCUAGAGUAUUGGAGAGGCAGGUGGAAUUCCAUGUGUAGCGGUAAAAUGCGUAGAUAUAUGGAGGAACACCAGUGGCGAAGGCGGCUUGCUAGCCAAAGACUGACGCUCAUGCACGAAAGCGUGGGGAGCAAAUAGG
This 423-nucleotide ribosomal RNA is filed under the name bacterium. RNAcentral describes it as "partial 16S ribosomal RNA". It matches the Rfam family "Bacterial small subunit ribosomal RNA", at positions 355 to 776 of the family's 1533-position model. The record is from RNAcentral.